This 1846-nucleotide ribosomal RNA is filed under the name Salmonella enterica subsp. enterica serovar Kentucky. RNAcentral's name for it is "bacterial LSU rRNA". It matches the Rfam family "Bacterial large subunit ribosomal RNA", at positions 963 to 2832 of the family's 2925-position model. Lineage: Bacteria; Pseudomonadati; Pseudomonadota; Gammaproteobacteria; Enterobacterales; Enterobacteriaceae. The record is from RNAcentral.
CCGGAGAAUGUUAUCACGGGAGACACACGGCGGGUGCUAACGUCCGUCGUGAAGAGGGAAACAACCCAGACCGCCAGCUAAGGUCCCAAAGUCAUGGUUAAGUGGGAAACGAUGUGGGAAGGCCCAGACAGCCAGGAUGUUGGCUUAGAAGCAGCCAUCAUUUAAAGAAAGCGUAAUAGCUCACUGGUCGAGUCGGCCUGCGCGGAAGAUGUAACGGGGCUAAACCAUGCACCGAAGCUGCGGCAGCGAACGUAUCACUUAAAGCGAUUCAGCGGRUKACGAUUGACGGAGCGAAGCGACGUCAAAGCGUAUACAAAGUCGAGUCGGUUUAAGGAUACGUUCGUUGGGUAGGGGAGCGUUCUGUAAGCCUGUGAAGGUGGCCUGUGAGGGUUGCUGGAGGUAUCAGAAGUGCGAAUGCUGACAUAAGUAACGAUAAAGCGGGUGAAAAGCCCGCUCGCCGGAAGACCAAGGGUUCCUGUCCAACGUUAAUCGGGGCAGGGUGAGUCGACCCCUAAGGCGAGGCCGAAAGGCGUAGUCGAUGGGAAACRGGUUAAUAUUCCYGUACUUGGUGUUACUGCGAAGGGGGGACGGAGAAGGCUAUGUUGGCCGGGCGACGGUUGUCCCGGUUUAAGCGUGUAGGCUGGUUUUCCAGGCAAAUCCGGAAAAUCAAGGCUGAGGCGUGAYGACGAGGCACUACGGUGCUGAAGCAACAAAUGCCCUGCUUCCAGGAAAAGCCUCUAAGCAUCAGGUAACAUCAAAUCGUACCCCAAACCGACACAGGUGGUCAGGUAGAGAAUACCAAGGCGCUUGAGAGAACUCGGGUGAAGGAACUAGGCAAAAUGGUGCCGUAACUUCGGGAGAAGGCACGCUGACACGUAGGUGAAGUGAUUUACUCAUGGAGCUGAAGUCAGUCGAAGAUACCAGCUGGCUGCACCGGUAAACGGCGGCCGUAACUAUAACGGUCCUAAGGUAGCGAAAUUCCUUGUCGGGUAAGUUCCGACCUGCACGAAUGGCGUAAUGAUGGCCAGGCUGUCUCCACCCGAGACUCAGUGAAAUUGAACUCGCUGUGAAGAUGCAGUGUACCCGCGGCAAGACGGAAAGACCCCGUGAACCUUUACUAUAGCUUGACACUGAACAUUGAGCCUUGAUGUGUAGGAUAGGUGGGAGGCUUUGAAGUGUGGACGCCAGUCUGCAUGGAGCCGACCUUGAAAUACCACCCUUUAAUGUUUGAUGUUCUAACGUGGACCCGUWAYCCGGGUUGCGGACAGUGUCUGGUGGGUAGUUUGACUGGGGCGGUCUCCUCCUAAAGAGUAACGGAGGAGCACGAAGGUUGGCUAAUCCUGGUCGGACAUCAGGAGGUUAGUGCAAUGGCAUAAGCCAGCUUGACUGCGAGCGUGACGGCGCGAGCAGGUGCGAAAGCAGGUCAUAGUGAUCCGGUGGUUCUGAAUGGAAGGGCCAUCGCUCAACGGAUAAAAGGUACUCCGGGGAUAACAGGCUGAUACCGCCCAAGAGUUCAUAUCGACGGCGGUGUUUGGCACCUCGAUGUCGGCUCAUCACAUCCUGGGGCUGAAGUAGGUCCCAAGGGUAUGGCUGUUCGCCAUUUAAAGUGGUACGCGAGCUGGGUUUAGAACGUCGUGAGACAGUUCGGUCCCUAUCUGCCGUGGGCGCUGGAGAACUGAGGGGGGCUGCUCCUAGUACGAGAGGACCGGAGUGGACGCAUCACUGGUGUUCGGGUUGUCAUGCCAAUGGCACUGCCCGGUAGCUAAAUGCGGAAGAGAUAAGUGCUGAAAGCAUCUAAGCACGAAACUUGCCCCGAGAUGAGUUCUCCCUGAGACUUAUCCCCAUG